RNAcentral lists this long non-coding RNA (510 nucleotides) under Salvia miltiorrhiza (redroot sage). RNAcentral describes it as "long non-coding RNA (SMIL_LNC009435)". The record is from RNAcentral. Lineage: Eukaryota; Viridiplantae; Streptophyta; Magnoliopsida; Lamiales; Lamiaceae.
UUUGUUUUAUUUUCAUGAUUGAAUUUGUGCCAUCAUUUUUGAAGUUAGAGAUGUUCGUUUAUUUAUUUUGUCAUCUCCUAAUUAGUGCAUUGUGCCUAUUUGAGAUGAAUGAAUUUUUUAGGUUAUUUAUAUGUAUGUGAAAUUUUAUCUGUAUGGAUCAUCUAAUGCGGAGGUAGAAACAUUUAUGCUUUAAUAUUUUCUAAAGUUUCAAUAUUUUCUUUUGGGACUGUGCAGAUAGUGUUGUGGCCAGUGUUUUUUUUUUUUUUUUUUGAAAAGAGUACUAUGGCCAGUGUUGUGAAAAGCGCUAGGCGGCAGAGAUCAAGCCUUGAUUUUACGCUAAAGGGCGGUGUGAGCUUUUUUGAGGCGGAUAUGUAACUUCCACUAUAUUUGCAUUAUAAUACAUAUAUUAUUAUUUUUUUCAAAACGCCAAUCAAGCUGCAACUUUUAGAAUACUUGGGGCUCAUGAGGCGCAACUUUUUGAGGUUUGAGGAUUCCUAAUCCUCAUUAAAU